UACGUAGGGUGCGAGCGUUAAUCGGAAUUACUGGGCGUAAAGCGUGCGCAGGCGGUUUUGUAAGUCAGAUGUGAAAUCCCCGGGCUUAACCUGGGAAUGGCAUUUGGGACUGCAAGGCUUGAGUGCGGCAGAGGAGACUGGAAUUCCUGGUGUAGCAGUGAAAUGCGUAGAUAUCAGGAGGAAUACCGAUGGCGAAGGCAGGUCUCUGGGCUGACACUGACGCUCAUGCACGAAAGCGUGGGGAGCAAACAGG
This 253-nucleotide ribosomal RNA is filed under the name uncultured bacterium. RNAcentral's name for it is "partial 16S ribosomal RNA". It matches the Rfam family "Bacterial small subunit ribosomal RNA", at positions 524 to 776 of the family's 1533-position model. The record is from RNAcentral.